UACGGAGGGGGCAAGCGUUAUUCGGAAUUAUUGGGCGUAAAGGGCGCGUAGGCGGCUAGAUGUGUCAAAGGUGAAAUCCCUCGGCUCAACUGAGGAACUGCCUUUGAAACUGUCUGGCUUGAGGCCGGGAGAGGGUAGCGGAAUUCCGGGUGUAGCGGUGAAAUGCGUAGAUAUCCGGAGGAACACCGGUGGCGAAGGCGGCUUCCUGGACCGACACUGACGCUGAGGCGCGAAAGCCAGGGGAGCAAACGGG
This 253-nucleotide ribosomal RNA is filed under the name uncultured bacterium. RNAcentral's name for it is "partial 16S ribosomal RNA". It matches the Rfam family "Bacterial small subunit ribosomal RNA", at positions 524 to 776 of the family's 1533-position model. The record is from RNAcentral.